AAUAAAGUGGCUGAAUUAUAAGGCGAUAAAUUGUAAAUUUAUUUAUGGUGUAAACCCUUUAUUA
Molecule: transfer RNA, 64 nt
Filed under: Brontostoma colossus
Lineage: Eukaryota; Metazoa; Arthropoda; Insecta; Hemiptera; Reduviidae
Description: tRNA-Tyr
Rfam family: tRNA
About the family: Transfer RNA (tRNA) molecules are approximately 80 nucleotides in length. Their secondary structure includes four short double-helical elements and three loops (D, anti-codon, and T loops). Further hydrogen bonds mediate the characteristic L-shaped molecular structure. tRNAs have two regions of fundamental functional importance: the anti-codon, which is responsible for specific mRNA codon recognition, and the 3' end, to which the tRNAs corresponding amino acid is attached (by aminoacyl-tRNA synthetases). tRNAs cope with the degeneracy of the genetic code in two manners: having more than one tRNA (with a specific anti-codon) for a particular amino acid; and 'wobble' base-pairing, i.e. permitting non-standard base-pairing at the 3rd anti-codon position.
Source: RNAcentral